GACGAACGCUGGCGGCGUGCUUAACACAUGCAAGUCGAACGCUGAAGCUCAGCUUUUGUUGGGUGGAUGAGUGGCGAACGGGUGAGUAACACGUGAGUAACCUGCCUCCUUCUUUGGGAUAACGCCCGGAAACGGGUGCUAAUACUGGAUAUUCACUGGUCUUCGCAUGGGGGUUGGUGGAAAGGGUUUUUCUGGUGGGGGAUGGGCUCGCGGCCUAUCAGCUUGUUGGUGGGGUGAUGGCCUACCAAGGCUUUGACGGGUAGCCGGCCUGAGAGGGUGACCGGUCACAUUGGGACUGAGAUACAGCCCAGACUACUACGGGAGGCAGCAGUGGGGAAUAUUGCACAAUGGGCGCAAGCCUGAUGCAGCGACGCCGCGUGAGGGAUGGAGGCCUUCGGGUUGUGAACCUCUUUCGCUCAUGGUCAAGCCGCAACAAUGGUUGUGGUGAGGGUAGUGGGUAAAGAAGCGCCGGCUAACUACGUG
This 483-nucleotide ribosomal RNA is filed under the name uncultured bacterium. RNAcentral's name for it is "partial 16S ribosomal RNA". It matches the Rfam family "Bacterial small subunit ribosomal RNA", at positions 28 to 507 of the family's 1533-position model. The record is from RNAcentral.